UACGUAGGUGGCGAGCGUUGUCCGGAUUUACUGGGCGUAAUGAGCGCGCAGGCGGUCGUCCAAGUCGCGUGUGAAAGCCCCCGGCUCAACUGGGGAGGGUCACGCGAUACUGUUCGGCUCGAAGGCAGGAGAGGGUAGUGGAAUUCCCGGUGUAGUGGUGAAAUGCGUAGAUAUCGGGAGGAACACCAGGGGCGAAGGCGACUACCUGGCCUGUUCUUGACGCUGAGGCGCGAGAGCUAGGGGAGCAAACGGG
RNAcentral lists this ribosomal RNA (253 nucleotides) under uncultured bacterium. RNAcentral describes it as "partial 16S ribosomal RNA". It matches the Rfam family "Bacterial small subunit ribosomal RNA", at positions 524 to 776 of the family's 1533-position model. The record is from RNAcentral.